AUGCAUUACUGUAAAAAUGUUAAAAUUAUACAAGUAUGUAUUGUCUUGCUUUUGCCAUGUUUAGAUACUUCCUGUUGGGAGAUAAUGUUUGAAUUCUUGUGUUUUCCAUCACCUUUUGAAGCCAAGUUACAUUGCUUUGAUUACAGAUUCUCAACGUUCUCUCCUCAGCAUCAUCUCUUCCAGGUUAUGCUGGAGCAGACAGACUUUAUUACAAGACUAAAAAGUAGUUCUGAGUAUCAGCUGGAGGAAAAAUGCCUGUUUGCUACAAAUACAUGAGAUGGAAAACAAGUUUCCCCCUAAUCGUAGAAGUACAAUGCAGAUAAGGGUAAAAUUUCUUUUCCUCUGUAAUAUGCACUACAUGAAUUAGAAAAAUGCACAACAAAGAGACUAGGCAGUUACUCCUAUCGUAGUCUAUUUUGAAAAUGCUUUUUUAUGUCACAUCUUAUAAAGGGAGUCUAAUAGUUUAUCCAUUUAAAAAACCAAACAAACAUCUAGGUAUGUGUUCUCUCUGGAAUUCUAGGGGCUUUAGACUUUCCAAAAUAUCAAGCUGAGCUAUGCUUAAUUGAAGAAUAUAUGGGAAGAACAGAAAAGAACAGAAUGCUGCUAUCUUGGUGAUUGAAUUGGCAUAAACUGUGACUGCUCCUUAAUUAAAUAAAUUCACCAAAUGGCUGUGUUUCA
This 678-nucleotide long non-coding RNA is filed under the name Anas platyrhynchos platyrhynchos (common mallard). RNAcentral's name for it is "lncRNA (ENSAPLG00000026674.1)". The record is from RNAcentral. Lineage: Eukaryota; Metazoa; Chordata; Aves; Anseriformes; Anatidae.